GCCCCAGUAGCUUAGCUUUAAAGCGCCGGUCUUGUAAACCGGAGAUCGGAGGUUAAAGUCCUCCCUGAGGCC
RNAcentral lists this transfer RNA (72 nucleotides) under Sardinella albella (white sardinella). Its description in RNAcentral is "tRNA-Thr". It matches the Rfam family "tRNA". Rfam says of the family: Transfer RNA (tRNA) molecules are approximately 80 nucleotides in length. Lineage: Eukaryota; Metazoa; Chordata; Actinopteri; Clupeiformes; Clupeidae. The record is from RNAcentral. RNAcentral also lists the same sequence under 2 other names.